AGUUCGGAUUGCAGCCUGCAACUCGGCUGCAUGAAGCUGGAAUCGCUAGUAAUCGCGGAUCAGAAUGCCGCGGUGAAUACGUUCCCGGGUCUUGUACACACCGCCCGUCACACCAUGGGAGUAGGUAAUGCCCGAAGUCGGUGACCUAACCGGAAGGAAGGAGCCGCCGAAGGCAGGACUUAUAACUGGGGUGAAGUCGUAACAAGGUAGC
This 211-nucleotide ribosomal RNA is filed under the name uncultured bacterium. RNAcentral describes it as "partial 16S ribosomal RNA". It matches the Rfam family "Bacterial small subunit ribosomal RNA", at positions 1290 to 1500 of the family's 1533-position model. The record is from RNAcentral.